UCUCCGUAGGUGAACCUGCGGAGGGAUCAUUACAGAGUUCAUGCCCUAACGGGUAGAUCUCCCACCCUAUGCUAUCAUCACUUUGUUGCUUUGGCGGGCCGUCAGGCCUCGGCUUGGCUACCGGCUCUCGCUGGUAAGCGCCCGCCAGAGAACCCCAAACCCUGAAUAUCAGUGUCGUCUGAGUACUAUAUAAUAGUUAAAACUUUCAACAACGGAUCUCUUGGUUCUG
RNAcentral lists this unclassified non-coding RNA (229 nucleotides) under plant metagenome. RNAcentral's name for it is "partial contains small subunit ribosomal RNA, internal transcribed spacer 1, and 5.8S ribosomal RNA". The record is from RNAcentral.